RNAcentral lists this ribosomal RNA (728 nucleotides) under Escherichia coli. RNAcentral's name for it is "partial 23S ribosomal RNA". It matches the Rfam family "Bacterial large subunit ribosomal RNA", at positions 1017 to 1746 of the family's 2925-position model. The record is from RNAcentral. Lineage: Bacteria; Pseudomonadati; Pseudomonadota; Gammaproteobacteria; Enterobacterales; Enterobacteriaceae.
GGGAAACAACCCAGACCGCCAGCUAAGGUCCCAAAGUCAUGGUUAAGUGGGAAACGAUGUGGGAAGGCCCAGACAGCCAGGAUGUUGGCUUAGAAGCAGCCAUCAUUUAAAGAAAGCGUAAUAGCUCACUGGUCGAGUCGGCCUGCGCGGAAGAUGUAACGGGGCUAAACCAUGCACCGAAGCUGCGGCAGCGACGCUUAUGCGUUGUUGGGUAGGGGAGCGUUCUGUAAGCCUGCGAAGGUGUGCUGUGAGGCAUGCUGGAGGUAUCAGAAGUGCGAAUGCUGACAUAAGUAACGAUAAAGCGGGUGAAAAGCCCGCUCGCCGGAAGACCAAGGGUUCCUGUCCAACGUUAAUCGGGGCAGGGUGAGUCGACCCCUAAGGCGAGGCCGAAAGGCGUAGUCGAUGGGAAACAGGUUAAUAUUCCUGUACUUGGUGUUACUGCGAAGGGGGGACGGAGAAGGCUAUGUUGGCCGGGCGACGGUUGUCCCGGUUUAAGCGUGUAGGCUGGUUUUCCAGGCAAAUCCGGAAAAUCAAGGCUGAGGCGUGAUGACGAGGCACUACGGUGCUGAAGCAACAAAUGCCCUGCUUCCAGGAAAAGCCUCUAAGCAUCAGGUAACAUCAAAUCGUACCCCAAACCGACACAGGUGGUCAGGUAGAGAAUACCAAGGCGCUUGAGAGAACUCGGGUGAAGGAACUAGGCAAAAUGGUGCCGUAACUUCGGGAGAAGG